CAGUCGCCACGGUAAUACGUAGGGUGCGAGCGUUAAUCGGAAUUACUGGGCGUAAAGCGAGCGCAGGCGGUUAGAUAAGUCUGAAGUUAAAGGCUGUGGCUUAACCAUAGUACGCUUUGGAAACUGUUUAACUUGAGUGCAAGAGGGGAGAGUGGAAUUCCAUGUGUAGCGGUGAAAUGCGUAGAUAUAUGGAGGAACACCGGUGGCGAAAGCGGCUCUCUGGCUUGUAACUGACGCUGAGGCUCGAAAGCGUGGGGAGCAAACAGGAUUAGAUACCCCGGUAGUCCCUGUCUCUUAUACA
Molecule: ribosomal RNA, 301 nt
Filed under: uncultured bacterium
Lineage: Bacteria
Description: partial 16S ribosomal RNA
Rfam family: Bacterial small subunit ribosomal RNA
Source: RNAcentral